AUGACUCCUUUGAUGAGACCAGCAUGCGUUUUGUGCGGCGCAUCCAGGAGUAAGGUGAAGGAGGCUUUAAAAAGGAUGAAAGGAGGCAAGGCGAUGGGCCCUGAUUGUAUCCCCAUUGAGGUGUGGAAAGGUCUCGGGGACAUAGCGAUAGUAUGGCUAACCAAGCUUUUCAACCUCAUUUUUCGGGCAAACAAGAUGCCAGAAGAAUGGAGAUGGAGUAUAUUAGUACCAAUCUUCAAGAACAAGGGGGAUGUUCAGAGUUGUACUAAUUACCGUGGAAUUAAGCUGAUGAGCCAUACAAUGAAGCUAUGGGAGAGAGUCAUUGAGCACCGCUUAAGAAGAAUGACAAGCGUGACCAAAAAUCAGUUUGGUUUCAUGCCUGGGAGGUCGACCAUGGAAGCCAUUUUCUUGGUACGACAACUUAUGGAGAGAUAUAGGGAGCAUAAGAAGGACUUGCAUAUGGUGUUCAUUGACUUGGAGAAGGCCUAUGAUAAGAUACCGCGGAAUGUCAUGUGGUGGGCCUUGGAGAAACACAAAGUCCCAGCAAAGUACAUUACCCUCAUCAAGGACAUGUACAAUGAUGUUGUGACAAGUGUUCGAACAAGUGAUGUCGACACCGAUGACUUCCCGAUUAAGAUAGGACUGCAUCAGGGGUCAGCUUUGAGCCCUUAUCUUUUUGCAUUGGUGAUGGAUGAGGUCACAAGGGGUAUACAAGGAGAUAUCCCAUGGUGUAUGCUCUUUGCGGAUGAUGUGGUGCUAGUUGACGAUAGUCGGACGGGGGUAAAUAGGAAGUUAGAGUUAUGGAGACAAACCUUGGAAUCGAAAGGGUUUAGGCUUAGUAGAACUAAAACCGAGUACAUGAUGUGCGGUUUCAGUACUACUAGCUGUGAGGAGGAGGAGGUUAGCCUUGAUGGCCAGGUGGUACCUCGGAAGGACACCUUUCGGUAUUUGGGGUCAAUGUUGCAGGAGGAUGGGGGUAUUGAUGAAGAUGUGAACCAUCGAAUCAAAGCCGGAUGGAUGAAGUGGCGCCAAGCUUCUGGCAUUCUCUGUGACAAGAGAGUGCCACAAAAGCUAAAAGGCAAGUUCUACAGUACGGCGGUUCGACCCGCAAUGUUGUAUGGCGCGGAGUGUUGGCCGACUAAAAGGCGACAUGUUCAACAGUUAGGUGUGGCGGAGAUGCGUAUGUUGAGAUGGAUGUGUGGCCACACGAGGAAGGAUCGAGUCCGGAAUGAUGAUAUACGAGAUAGAGUUGGGUAG
Molecule: ribosomal RNA, 1257 nt
Filed under: Triticum aestivum (bread wheat)
Lineage: Eukaryota; Viridiplantae; Streptophyta; Magnoliopsida; Poales; Poaceae
Description: partial small subunit ribosomal RNA
Source: RNAcentral